GACGAACGCUGGCGGCGUGCUUAACACAUGCAAGUCGAACGGAAAGGCCCCAGCUUGCUGGAGUGCUCGAGUGGCGAACGGGUGAGUAACACGUGGGCAAUCUGCCCUUCACUCUGGGAUAACCCUAGGAAACUGGGGCUAAUACCGGAUAGGAGCUUUCUCCUCAUGGGGGGUGGUGGAAAGUUUUUCGGUUCGGGAUUGGCCCGCGGCCUAUCAGCUUGUUGGUGGGGUAAUGGCCUACCAAGGCGACGACGGGUAGCCGGCCUGAGAGGGUGAUCGGCCACAUUGGGACUGAGAUACGGCCCAGACUCCUACGGGAGGCAGCAGUGGGGAAUAUUGCACAAUGGGCGGAAGCCUGAUGCAGCGACGCCGCGUGAGGGAUGACGGCCUUCGGGUUGUAAACCUCUUUCAGCAGGGACGAAGCGCAAGUGACGGUAACUGCAGAAGAAGCACCGGCUAACUACGUG
This 467-nucleotide ribosomal RNA is filed under the name uncultured bacterium. RNAcentral's name for it is "partial 16S ribosomal RNA". It matches the Rfam family "Bacterial small subunit ribosomal RNA", at positions 28 to 507 of the family's 1533-position model. The record is from RNAcentral.